RNAcentral lists this transfer RNA (72 nucleotides) under Lysmata vittata. RNAcentral's name for it is "tRNA-Val". Lineage: Eukaryota; Metazoa; Arthropoda; Malacostraca; Decapoda; Hippolytidae. The record is from RNAcentral.
UAGAUAAUAGCUAAAGUAAAAAGUACUCCGUUUACAAUGGAGUGAUCAUUCCUUUAUAAGGAUGUUGUCUUA